CGCACGGGUGCGUAACGCGUAUGCAAUCUGCCUUCCACAGAGGGAUAGCCCAGAGAAAUUUGGAUUAAUACCUCAUAGCAUCAUGACCCGGCAUCGGGAUAUGAUUAAAGUCACAACGGUGGAAGAUGAGCAUGCGUCCCAUUAGCUAGUUGGUAAGGUAACGGCUUACCAAGGCUACGAUGGGUAGGGGUCCUGAGAGGGAGAUCCCCCACACUGGUACUGAGACACGGACCAGACUCCUACGGGAGGCAGCAGUGAGGAAUAUUGGUCAAUGGGCGCAAGCCUGAACCAGCCAUGCCGCGUGCAGGAUGACGGUCCUAUGGAUUGUAAACUGCUUUUGUACGGGAAGAAACCCUCCUACGUGUAGGAGCUUGACGGUACCGUAAGAAUAAGGAUCGGCUAACUCCGUGCCAGCAGCCGCGGUAAUACGGAGGAUCCAAGCGUUAUCCGGAAUCAUUGGGUUUAAAGGGUCUGUAGGCGGUCUUGUAAGUCAGUGGUGAAAGCCCAUCGCUCAACGGUGGAACGGCCAUUGAUACUGCUGGACUUGAAUUAUUGGGAAGCAACUAGAAUAUGUAGUGUAGCGGUGAAAUGCUUAGAGAUUACAUGGAAUACC
This 613-nucleotide ribosomal RNA is filed under the name uncultured Flavobacterium sp. RNAcentral's name for it is "bacterial SSU rRNA". It matches the Rfam family "Bacterial small subunit ribosomal RNA", at positions 99 to 710 of the family's 1533-position model. The record is from RNAcentral. Lineage: Bacteria; Pseudomonadati; Bacteroidota; Flavobacteriia; Flavobacteriales; Flavobacteriaceae.